GAGGAGAAAUAAGAGACUGCUGAUGAGUUGCAUGGAAAGGUCAGAAUUGACAGCAACUGUAAAGAAGAACAAAACAGCUUUAAAACCUCAUCCCUUUCUGAUGAUAAAUAAAAAGCAUCAUCUCAAUUAUUUUGCUCUUCCGAGGACCAGUUUCAAGUGAAGAUUUUUUUUUUUUAUUCCAUGCAGUUUCUUGUCUGAAAACAAAUCAUAUUGACAGGAGGAAGUGUCCUUCCCUUGGGUGGACUGAGUGAAUUCUGAGCACCCAGGGCUGUGGAUAGCCCUGCUCCAGGACAGCCCUGCUCCAGGAUAGCCCUGCUCCAGGAAAGUUUUGCUCCAGUCUACCUGAGCCAGCACAGGAUUCUCUCACCUGCUGGGUGCAGGUCUGGCCUGACUCUUUGGAUCCAUCAGGAAGAGAAGCCAAAAGCCCCACAAUCAAAAUUCAGCUUUUAUGGAGCAAGGAGAUUAUCCCCGAGAGAAAAACCCCUGCUGGUGCUACAGGUGCAAACGCCAUCUCCAAAUGAUGAACCACGGAGAGGAGAGCGAGCACAGGGAACUGCUGAGCUUUGACAGCAGAUGUGACCCCUGAGCCCACAACAAUGAGCUGCCAGCCUGUCCUCUGUCGCUGGGGUGUGACUGGGACCGUUCAGCAGCCCCGGGGUUCCCAGGGACCCAUCCCACCCCUGUGAGGGAGGAGAAGCACUGGGGCUCCUGUGCAAAUCCACAUUUCACGGCAGAGCCCUGGAACCAGGAGCCUUCAGCACUCACAUCAAUCAUCAGUGGUUAUGAGCUGGCUGGAUCGCUUUCAAUAUAUGGAUGUACGAAUUUACUGAUUUUGGAAGGGAUGCCGAACUGCCCUGCUCACUGCGAGGGGCUGGCCCUCCCUCCGAUGCUUUCCAUGCGCUGGGCAGGUGAGGAGACUUUCCCUGAGUUACAGAAGGAAAAGGCUCCCCUCUCGUGGCUGCGAGGGAAAACGGCACUUUCUGCACAAAACUGCCUUCUGCACUUCCCGGGCUGCGGGGAAACACAAAUCUAUCCAGAACACCUGAAAAUGGGAUGGGAAUGGAACGGACUCAGAGCCAGAGCAGGAGCAGAGGAGCUCCCAGCCCUGGUGUGAGUGCAGUCUCUCAGAGCUGGUGGGAACCUGGCUUUUC
Long non-coding RNA from Zonotrichia albicollis (white-throated sparrow), 1151 nucleotides. The record is from Ensembl. Lineage: Eukaryota; Metazoa; Chordata; Aves; Passeriformes; Passerellidae.